AACAUGCAGUCGAGCGGUAGCACAGAGAGCUUGCUCUCGGGUGACGAGCUGGCGGACGGGUGAGUAAUGUCUGGGAAACUGCCUGAUGGAGGGGGAUAACUACUGGAAACGGUAGCUAAUACCGCAUAAUCGUCGCAAGACCAAAGAUGGGGGACCUUCGGGCCUCAUUGCCAUCAGAUGUGCCCAGAUGGGAUUAGCUAGUAGGUGGGGUAACGGCUCACCUAGGCGACGAUCCCUAGCUGGUCUGAGAGGAUGACCAGCCACACUGGAACUGACGUACACGGUCCAGACUCCUACGGGAGGCAGCAGUGGGGAAUAUUGCACAAUGGGCGCAAGCCUGAUGCACGCCCAUGCCGUCGUGUGCAUGAAGUAAGGCCUUCGGAUGUUGUAAAGUACACU
This 399-nucleotide ribosomal RNA is filed under the name Enterobacter sp. Its description in RNAcentral is "bacterial SSU rRNA". It matches the Rfam family "Bacterial small subunit ribosomal RNA", at positions 52 to 436 of the family's 1533-position model. Lineage: Bacteria; Pseudomonadati; Pseudomonadota; Gammaproteobacteria; Enterobacterales; Enterobacteriaceae. The record is from RNAcentral.